This 1330-nucleotide ribosomal RNA is filed under the name Leuconostoc pseudomesenteroides. RNAcentral describes it as "bacterial SSU rRNA". It matches the Rfam family "Bacterial small subunit ribosomal RNA", at positions 61 to 1374 of the family's 1533-position model. Lineage: Bacteria; Bacillati; Bacillota; Bacilli; Lactobacillales; Lactobacillaceae. The record is from RNAcentral.
GUAGGAGCGCUGAAGAGAGGAGCUUGCUCUUCUUGGAUGAGUUGCGAACGGGUGAGUAACGCGUAGGUAACCUGCCUUGUAGCGGGGGAUAACUAUUGGAAACGAUAGCUAAUACCGCAUAACAAUGGAUGACACAUGUCAUUUAUUUGAAAGGGGCAAUUGCUCCACUACAAGAUGGACCUGCGUUGUAUUAGCUAGUAGGUGAGGUAAUGGCUCACCUAGGCGACGAUACAUAGCCGACCUGAGAGGGUGAUCGGCCACACUGGGACUGAGACACGGCCCAGACUCCUACGGGAGGCAGCAGUAGGGAAUCUUCGGCAAUGGGGGCAACCCUGACCGAGCAACGCCGCGUGAGUGAAGAAGGUUUUCGGAUCGUAAAGCUCUGUUGUAAGUCAAGAACGGGUGUGAGAGUGGAAAGUUCACACUGUGACGGUAGCUUACCAGAAAGGGACGGCUAACUACGUGCCAGCAGCCGCGGUAAUACGUAGGUCCCGAGCGUUGUCCGGAUUUAUUGGGCGUAAAGCGAGCGCAGGCGGUUUGAUAAGUCUGAAGUUAAAGGCUGUGGCUCAACCAUAGUUCGCUUUGGAAACUGUCAAACUUGAGUGCAGAAGGGGAGAGUGGAAUUCCAUGUGUAGCGGUGAAAUGCGUAGAUAUAUGGAGGAACACCGGUGGCGAAAGCGGCUCUCUGGUCUGUAACUGACGCUGAGGCUCGAAAGCGUGGGGAGCGAACAGGAUUAGAUACCCUGGUAGUCCACGCCGUAAACGAUGAGUGCUAGGUGUUGGAUCCUUUCCGGGAUUCAGUGCCGCAGCUAACGCAUUAAGCACUCCGCCUGGGGAGUACGACCGCAAGGUUGAAACUCAAAGGAAUUGACGGGGGCCCGCACAAGCGGUGGAGCAUGUGGUUUAAUUCGAAGCAACGCGAAGAACCUUACCAGGUCUUGACAUCCCGAUGCUAUUUCUAGAGAUAGAAAGUUACUUCGGUACAUCGGUGACAGGUGGUGCAUGGUUGUCGUCAGCUCGUGUCGUGAGAUGUUGGGUUAAGUCCCGCAACGAGCGCAACCCCUAUUGUUAGUUGCCAUCAUUCAGUUGGGCACUCUAGCGAGACUGCCGGUAAUAAACCGGAGGAAGGUGGGGAUGACGUCAAAUCAUCAUGCCCCUUAUGACCUGGGCUACACACGUGCUACAAUGGUUGGUACAACGAGUUGCGAGUCGGUGACGGCGAGCUAAUCUCUUAAAGCCAAUCUCAGUUCGGAUUGUAGGCUGCAACUCGCCUACAUGAAGUCGGAAUCGCUAGUAAUCGCGGAUCAGCACGCCGCGGUGAAUACGUUCC